Molecule: long non-coding RNA, 790 nt
Organism: Arabidopsis lyrata subsp. lyrata
Lineage: Eukaryota; Viridiplantae; Streptophyta; Magnoliopsida; Brassicales; Brassicaceae
Exons: 3
Source: RefSeq, a predicted model, not a curated record
GAAGAAAUGAGACAGACAAAAAGGGAAAAUUUUAAUUUUUGAGACGGCAGAUUACUUGUUGGGGUGUCACUAAAGUUGCGGUAAGUAGUGUUAGAUGCCCCUUGAUUUGCCUGUUACUCAACUUAGCUUAUUUCUGGGGUAAUGCCAGUCACUAAUACAAUUUCUUAAUCUGCUAUUCGGAGACAUUGCUGUCUUAUUUCUUAAUCUUAAUCUGGUAAGCCGUGGUUGGAGUUUACGCACAGGGACGUCGAGACGGGGUUGAUAGGUUUUAUGUGUGCAGAGAAAGAAAGUAAAAUGGACAGAGAGAUAUACGAUGCGUUUGGAGUUAACUGAAGCUGUAAAUAAAAUUCUGGAAGAGGCGAGUAAACGUAUCCAGCCAACUGGAACUGGUAUGAAGUGAGGAUAUUUUAUAUAAUUCUCUGUGAUUUUAGAAUUUUUAAUCCAAAAAUAGUCAUGAAUAUAUAUUGUUAUCUCUACCUUUUUUGUCUAGACUGUUGGGUAGUAAUGAUGUUUUUUCUGAGAUCUUGAGAGUCAGUUGACAAGAAACGGCUUAACUGGUUCUUAUCUCUUUCUAUAUCUCAUUUUUCGUUUUACUUGAGAGGUUAGUUCAUUUUAAGUGAUUAUUCUUCAAUUUUCACUACACAAGUCAUUGAAAUCAUUACUCACAUAUCUUGGACUGCGGCAAAAUUUCCUAAGAAAUGUGUUGUACUUUGCAUUACAUGUUAGUAUCAUACGACGAAAUAGCUACCUUUAGGUCAUUAAUGCUCUAUUCUAACGUCAAUUCUUUUUU